UACGGGGGGGGCAAGCGUUGUUCGGAAUUACUGGGCGUAAAGGGCUCGUAGGCGGCCAACUAAGUCGGACGUGAAAUCCCUCGGCUUAACCGGGGAACUGCGUCCGAUACUGGAUGGCUUGAGUUCGGGAGAGGGAUGCGGAAUUCCAGGUGUAGCGGUGAAAUGCGUAGAUAUCUGGAGGAAUACCGGUGGCGAAGGCGGCAUCCUGGACUAACACUGACGCUGAGGCGCGAAAGCUAGGGGAGCAAACGGG
This 253-nucleotide ribosomal RNA is filed under the name uncultured bacterium. RNAcentral describes it as "partial 16S ribosomal RNA". It matches the Rfam family "Bacterial small subunit ribosomal RNA", at positions 524 to 776 of the family's 1533-position model. The record is from RNAcentral.